Molecule: ribosomal RNA, 761 nt
Filed under: uncultured bacterium
Lineage: Bacteria
Description: bacterial SSU rRNA
Rfam family: Bacterial small subunit ribosomal RNA
Source: RNAcentral
GAUGAACGCUAGCUACAGGCUUAACACAUGCAAGUCGAGGGGCAGCAUGAAAGGAACUUCGGUUCUUUUUGAUGGCGACCGGCGCACGGGUGCGUAACGCGUAUCGAACCUGCCUCAUACUCGGGGAUAGCCUUGCGAAAGUAAGAUUAAUACCCGGCGGUCUCGGAUGGCCGCAUGACUAUCCGAGUGAAGAUUUAUCGGUAUGAGAUGGCGAUGCGUCCCAUUAGCUAGUUGGUGAGGUAAUGGCUCACCAAGGCAUCGAUGGGUAGGGGUUCUGAGAGGAAGGUCCCCCACAUUGGAACUGAGACACGGUCCAAACUCCUACGGGAGGCAGCAGUGAGGAAUAUUGGUCAAUGGACGAAAGUCUGAACCAGCCAAGUAGCGUGCAGGAUGACGGCCCUCUGGGUUGUAAACUGCUUUUAGUUGGGAAUAAAAAGAGGGACGUGUCCCUUAUUGUAUGUACCAUCAGAAAAAGGACCGGCUAAUUCCGUGCCAGCAGCCGCGGUAAUACGGAAGGUCCAGGCGUUAUCCGGAUUUAUUGGGUUUAAAGGGAGCGCAGGCGGCGGCGUAAGUCAGUUGUGAAAUCGUGCGGCUUAACCGUGCAAUUGCAGUUGAUACUGCGUCGCUUGAGUGCACACAGGGAUGUUGGAAUUCAUGGUGUAGCGGUGAAAUGCUUAGAUAUCAUGAAGAACUCCGAUCGCGAAGGCAUAUGUCCGGAGUGCAACUGACGCUGAGGCUCGAAAGUGUGGGUAUCAAACAGG